This is a long non-coding RNA of Apis laboriosa (Himalayan honeybee), 1596 nucleotides long. RefSeq lists it as uncharacterized. The record is from RefSeq and is a predicted model, not a curated record. NCBI's taxonomy places the organism in Eukaryota, Metazoa, Arthropoda, Insecta, Hymenoptera, Apidae. The transcript has 4 exons.
AGGCGCUCGAUGUCAACCCGAGGCCCAAUUGUUCUGCUACUUCCGCGUGGUCUUGCUGAUGAACGUAAUCGAAAACGCUUGAACCCGUCAUCUCUACCUGGAAAUUCAGAAAAUUUUCUUCGAUUCAAAUGCUUUUUCGAAAAAUUUGAAGUAUGAUAAAAAUGUAAGUCUCCGAAGAAGCACGUGCGUUUAAAUAUCGUAAUUUACUUGACAAGUUAUGGAAAGGUGACUUAAUUAGAGAAAAAAAAACUGCAGUCGAGGACAGCUUUCUCGAGGCGACUUCAUUGCAGGGAAACUCUGUGGCUCUUAAUAUGAUAGUUUCUAGGAAAAACUGCUUCGACGUGACCGAAACGACAUUCUUUCGUUCGAUGGAAGUAGCAUCUUAAAAUUCCAGGAACUCGCUCAAAGACAAAGCACGUAAGAGUAUGUAAAUCCCGCGAAGUAGAUUACUAGCUCAGAGGGGCACGGUUUUCCAUCGGGGGAGGCUCUCUCAACCAACGGAGAAAGACAGAAAGAAAGGUAGGAAGAGAGGGAGUCAAUUUCAUCGGGCACGGAAACUUUAAUUUCAAUCGAACUUGCCGACAGAAUAAUAAUAAUACUAAAGCCAGUAGUAGGUACCCUCGUAACCCAACAAACAGAGAGGAGGAGGAGGAACAGGAGAAGGAGGAGAAGGAGGAGGAACCUAUUAAGAAUCAACUUCACCAACGAGACUUAGAAAUCGUUAACGCAUCGGAAUGCCACCAAAACUAUAUCCCAUCCCUCGCUAGGGGUUGCGGACUCGAAUCGAAGGAAGGAAGCGAAGACUAUUUAAAAAACGGAUACGUGAUUCGAAAACAAAGAGAAGGAAACGCAAAAUGCAUCGUUUACCUGAAGAAUAUGGGUACCCUGAUGUACAUCGAAGUGGUCCAUAGCAGCGGAUGCCGAUGACCUAACUCGAUUCGCACCUGGAAUCAGAAAACGUGGCGCGUUAUUAAAGGCGAUGAUAUAUGUCCAUCAUUCAUUUGAAUGGGCUCGGUUCAACGCGAUAUUUAAUAUUCUGUUUUUUCAUCGUAGUUAAGUUUAGACGCUUCCGUAAAGAAUAUGACAGGUCCAUAGUUAUCGCUUAGGUAUACGUGUGUUAAAAAGAUAGAUUUGUAUUCGUCAGAUGGCGUCAAAGUUGCAUAUUGCCGUGCAUAUCGCGAACGAUGAAUAGUAAUGAACAAACGGAACUCGAUAAAUCAACAUUCCGUGGUGGUUUCUCUCGAUCACCCAUUUCUGACACAAAUUUCAUUAAAAGAAGGAAAUCACGUCAAUCUAAUAAACAAUUAACUCAUCGUUGAAGAUUCCUCUACGAGGAAUUUUAUAUUAAUCUUAUUUUGUUUAUUUUGUAAGUGAAACGAAUACGAAAGCAUUCACUUUCUCACAAAAUCUUUAUAACGAUUUUACAAAAUUGCCUGAAACCUUUUGACAGAGUUGCGAAUUAAUUCUUUUUUUAAUUUUCAAGUUUCCAAAAAAUCUUUAGAAAUUUACACAGAGAAAAAUCUUUCCAACAUCCUUAAUUAAUGGAUUUUUAAAAGAUUCUGAAAUUUGUAUACAAUUAAAAUGCUCAACAGCAAA